ACCUUCACCAGCCUGCCUGUGUGAGACUGUUGGUCUGUGUGCCCAGCUCCCUGUGGCCUGUGUGUAUGUGCCAAAGCUAGCCAGUGUGUGGCUAUGUGAGGCAGGCCACCUGCCUCACCCAUGGACAAGGCCCCAGGUUCAAUCCCCCAGAGGAAACCACCAUCAAACAGAGGAAAAACCAAUCCUGUCUCUUCUGAGUCAUUCUCUUUCCUUCUAAGGGCACUGCCUGGGUCUUUUCUUGGGCUGGAAAAAUGCUCUGCUGAGAUGCAUAGAAACAAAAGAGCAGUUAGGUUCCUUAGAUUGGGUUCCAAAGGCCCACCGCUGCUACAGUACUCAGUUUUCCAGGCCCAGAGACAACUCUUAAGAAACAAAACCUGAAGAAGCCUGCUUAUACAGAAUUGGCAAGACCCGGACAAAGGAUGAAAAGGUGGUCACAGUGUUAAACAUUACAUGACGUUCAUUAGCAUGGUGAAAACAAACAACAAAUCAAAAAGGAGUCCAAGGGCCUGGCAGAAGAAUCAUAUCAGCAGUGCCACCUAUAGCCUGGAACUCAUUAUGUAGCUGAGGAUGGCCUUGAACUUCUGAACUUCCUGCCUUUACCCCCAGAGUACUAGAAUUACAGGUUUGAGCCUGGAUUAUGCUGUGCUGGGGUCAAGCCCAGGACUUAACUCCAUGCUAGCCAUCAAGUCCAAUUUGUGCUGCCCAAAUAUUCUUGGAUGUGUGGUCUUCCACUGGAGUGUGGUUGACUUACCAGGGGCAACAUUCUUAAAGACAGCUGGCUCUCCCUCUCCCUGCAGCUAUCAACAGCCAAUAUGCUCCUUAGCUGGGGCACCUGUGGCAACUGUGUAUCUGAUUUCAUGAACAGAAGAAUGACCCGGAGGAUAGCCAGAGAAGCUCAUGAGUCCAGCUAGCCUGGAGCCAUAUCAAUGAUGGCAUAAUCAUCAGAUUUCCAAAAUCUAGGGCCAGCUUCCAGCUUUACUUCCAGAUUCUUACCAGGAUGGCGAUGCAUCUCCUUUUUCAGCUCGUCAAGCUUGUGGGCUAUGUGAGCUGUGUGUGUGACAAUCCAGCACAGGGUCACAGCAGCACUGAUCUGGCUUGCAUUGUUCCAUAUAGUCACUGGAGCAGUGAAGCCAGAUGCUUCCAUUCAUAGAUCAUUUCUGCUGUCACCAGCAAUGCUGCCACAUAGAAUAUCUUUGGCAGAAGCAUUCUUGUGUUUUAUUUAAUAAAUGUUGUUCUUUGGCAAUUCUCUGUACAUAUGUAAUGCAUUCUCAUCACUCCCCACCCCCCAGCACAACACUCCCUCUAUUAUUCCCUCUAUCCCCUUCCCCUUCCAGCCUCUCUUCUUCUUCCUUAGUCUCUUUCCCACAUUCAUGACAUUUUGCUUUGUUUUGUGUUCCACAUAGUAUCAUUGGGGCCAUCUGUGUG
Molecule: long non-coding RNA, 1425 nt
Filed under: Cricetulus griseus (Chinese hamster)
Lineage: Eukaryota; Metazoa; Chordata; Mammalia; Rodentia; Cricetidae
Description: lncRNA (ENSCGRG00015033808.1)
Source: RNAcentral